RNAcentral lists this long non-coding RNA (2470 nucleotides) under Pan troglodytes (chimpanzee). Its description in RNAcentral is "lincRNA". Lineage: Eukaryota; Metazoa; Chordata; Mammalia; Primates; Hominidae. The record is from RNAcentral.
GUGACUCGAAGAAGCCUUCCAAAAAGCGUGUGAAAAGGGAGCCCUCCUCUACUACCAAGGUGACUUCAGGGAGCACAUUCAAUGAGAAUACAAGAAGAUAUGCUGUGCACACCAACCAGUGUCGGAGACCUCAUGGCUCCCCGGUAAAGAAGAAGAGGUACCCACAAGAAGAUGACUUCCAUCAUACAGUCUUCAGCAACCUUGAAAGAUUGGACAAGCUUCAGCCCACUCUUGAAGCCUCUGAGGAGUCUCUAGUUCACAAGGACAGAGGAGAUGGAGAGAGGCCAGUCAACGCGAGGGUGGUGCAGGUGGCCCCUCUGAGGUGUGAAUCUACUCCCCAUGAAGACACCGUACACGACAUCACUAACGAGGACGCCACACACGACAUCGCCAACGAGGACACUGUACAUGACACCGCUAACGAGGCGCCGACAAGGGCAUCGCCAGCGAGGACGCUGCCCAGGGCAUCGCCAACGUGGUCGCCGUCCACGGCAUCGCCAACGUGGUCGCCGCCCAGGGCAUCGCCAACGAGGACGCCGCCCAGGGCAUCGCCAGCGAGGACGCCGCCCACGGAAUCGCCAGCGAGGACGCCGCCCACGGAAUCGCCAACGAGGAGCCGCCCAGGGCAUCGCCAACGAGGACGCCGCCCAGGGCAUCGCCAACGAGGAUGCCGCCCACGGAAUCGCCAACGAGGACGCCGCCCAGGCAUCGCCAACGUGGGUCGCCGCCCAGGGCCAUCGCCAACGUGGGUCGCCGCCCAGGGCAUCGCCAACGAGGACGCCGCCCAGGGCAUCGCCAUCGCUAAUGAGGAUGCCAUAUAUGACAUCGCUAAUGACACCGUACAAGGCAUGCUAACGAGGACAUCGUACAAGCCGUCGCUAACAAGUACACUGUACACAACAUCGCUAAUGAGGGCACUGUACAAGACAUCACCAAUGAGGACGCUUUAUACGACAUUGCUAAUGGCACCGACAAGGCACGCUAACGUGGACGCUGUACACGACAUUGCUAAUGAGGACACCGUAUAAGACAUCGCUAGUAACUAUCGCAAGAACAAAAAACCAAACACCGCAUAUUCUCACUCAUAGGUGGGAAUUGAACAAUGAGAUCACAUGGACACAGGAAGGGGAAUAUCACACUCUGGGGACUGUUGUGGGGUGGGGGGGGGGGAGGGAUAGCAUCGGGAGAUAUACCUAAUGCUAGAUGAUGAGUUAGUGGGUGCAGCGCACCAGCAUGGCACAUGUAUACAUAUGUAACUAACCUGCACAAUGUGCACAUGUACCCUAAAACUUAAAGUAUAUAUAUAAAAAAAGACAUCGCUAGUGAGCACGCUGUAUACGACAUCGCUAAUGAGGACACUAUAUAUGACAUCGCUGAUGAGGACAUUGUAUACGACAUCACUAAUGAGGACACCAUACAAGGCAUCGCUAACGAUGACGCUGUACACAACAUCGCUAAUGAUGACACCGUAUAAGACAUCGCUAAUUAUGACGCUGUAUACGACAUUGCUAAUGACACCGUACAAGGCACGCUAACGAGGAUGCUGUACACGACAUCACUAAUGAGGACAGUGUACAAGCCAUCGCUAAUGAGGACACUGUAUAUGACAUCGCUAACGAGGACACUGUACAAGGCAUUGCUAACGAGGACACUGUACACAACAUCGCUAAUGAGGACACCAUAUAAGACAUCACCAAUGAGGAUGCUGUAUAUGACAUCGCUAAUGACACCCACAAGGCAUGCUAACGAGGACGCUGUAGACGACAUUGCUUAUAAGGAACACCGUACAAGACAUCGCUAACCAGGACGCUGUAUACGACAUCGCUAAUGAGGACGUUGUAUAUGACAUCGCUAAUGAGGAUGCUUUACAAGACAUAGAUAAUGAGGUUGCUGUAUAUGACAUCGCUAAUGAGGACAUUGUAUAUGACAUCGCUAAUGAGGACGCUCUAUACGACAUCACUAAUGAGGACACUGUAUACAACAUCACUAAUGAGGACGCUGUAUAUGGCAUCGCUAAUGAGGAUGCUGUAUACGAAUUCACUAAUAAGGACGCUGUAAUAUGACAUUGCUAAUGAGGACACUGUACAAGACAUCUGUAAAAAAGAAGAUGCUGCCAAUGAGCCAUUGACAUUGGGAGAAUGAUACGUACCCUGAAAUAACUCACUUCCUGAGGAAAAAGCGCCAUCUCCAGGAUUUGAUUGGUGGAGAGCAUAUCUGAUGAUGGGGAUUUGUAGGACUUUAAAAAGCACUCAUGUUUCCAUCCUCACUGUUGACUCCUGGCUUAAAGGGAGCUCCUGGGGUGAGUGAGGAGGCGGGAUCGGACCCUGGCAGUCCUAUCGGCAGCACCUGUGUUCCUCUGCACUGGGCCGUGGAUGACAAUUACAACACCUUUGCCACUCCCACGGUCCUGUGUGUUCCGGAUAUUUUAAAAUAAUGGCUAUAUAAGGUUGAGCACUUCAGGAUAUGCUGU